RNAcentral lists this long non-coding RNA (2371 nucleotides) under Lotus japonicus. RNAcentral describes it as "long non-coding RNA (LJAP_LNC001295)". The record is from RNAcentral. Lineage: Eukaryota; Viridiplantae; Streptophyta; Magnoliopsida; Fabales; Fabaceae.
GCAAACUAAUUCAAAAAAGUAUUUUAUGGAAACAAAUGUGAAAAAAAUAAAUGAGGAUAAUAAUAAGGCUACUCUUACCAACAUUGGGCAGGCCAAUCAAACCCAGGGAUCAACUUCUUGAUCUGCCAAGACAAGUACGAAAAAUAAAUGAAGAUUGACAAUGAAUGAUAAAUGAAGUAAACAAUCAUAUAGAAACAACAAAACAAUUAACACAUUAGAGGUACACCGUAGAAUAAUAGUCAGUCACAUGCAUAUUGCAUAAUCACCAAUGGAUAGCAAUAGUAACACUAGAAGGAGGUUCACCGUAGCAACCCUUCCAACUUAAAAAGAUUUUAAUGUAGUUUCAAACCAAAUAAAGUGGAAAAUGAGAAUAUAACGAGAUACCUGAACCUUGGUAUGGCAUGCAAAAUCACCAAUGGAUAGCAAUAAUAACACAUGAAGGAGGUACACUAAAGAAAUUAGAAACCCUUCCAACUUAAAAGAUUUUAGAGUAGCUUAGAACCCAAUAGAGUAGAAAAUAAGAACAUAACAAGAUACCUGAACAUUAAAGGUAUGUCAUGCAUGAAUAAUGAAGAAAUAAACAAAUAGAAGACAUAGAGAAAAACAAAGAUAUAACUUUUGCAUCAACACUAGAAUUGAAGAUAGUUUUAAAGAAAAUUUGUCAGAGAUUGAUACUUGUCUUACAUAGCAAAGCGAGAAAUUACAUAACACUGAAUGCUAAUGAUAGGAGCAAAUCAGGUUUCUAAUAGCAGAUCCCGGUCCCAACUAGUGUUGAAAUAAUCCUACCCAAGCUGCAACAUAUAUCUAAUUUUUCCAGCCAGAAGAGCACAAUACACAUCUAUUGAGAUUUCUUAAAACUGAACUGAGCACAUAACUUUAUUUUUUAAAUCCAGUUCACAUAGGUCCUCCACCCCUCUCUAAGUAUAUAUACUUAUAUACUACAUUUAAAGCACAAACUACUCAAAAGUUGUUGUAGUAGCUCUUGCACUGAUAGAUGAAUAAUAAUUGGAUAAACUCACAAUAUCCAUUUUCAACAGCUUAUAGAUUUUACAUUUGGUUUGAUGCAUUAGAAUAUCAUGCUCAUGAGUCAUGACCCCAUUUUUAAGUUAACUUUUAAUUGGAGAAUCAAAUAAACGAGCAUGACAGAAGAAUGAAACGAGAAAUCCUAAGAAUAGCAAAGCCAUAUAUUUAAAAACAUCUAGUGCAGGAACACAUGGGAAUGCUUAUUUGGCUCCCAUAUCCAAUGGAUAUGGGUCCAUUGCAUAAAUGUGCAAGAAACUUCUAUGAAGUAAAUCAAGUUGCACCAACAGCAAAUAUAGCACUCUCCGAACUUUCUAUUACAACAAUAGAUCCAGAUCUCCUCCCCUGACAAACAGAAACUAAAUGCAGGAGCCUAAGAUAACCUCUAUAUAUUUAAGAAAAUAACUAAACGGAAGCAGCCAUAAGCAGUUCACCAUUAAGAUACCACAAUCGUAACUCAAUCCUACAUCAUGUAACAUCUUUUCUUAACAAGAACCUCAAAAGUUUAGUGUAAAACUAACAGUUAUUAUUGCUGAACCACAAAACGAGAAAAGUGAACUAUAUUUCAAUCACAUCCUAGUAGAGUAUAGUGUUGGUAUACUCUGGGUUCAGCAUAGUCAUGCUUGUACUGGAUUAUUUCCCUUAAGUAGUUAGCAUUCUGUUAUAUGUGAGCUGGCACUAGUUAGUUUGUUCAGGGUAUAGAAAAUCUAUCAACGUCAGUUCUGUAACUGCUUACAAUGAUAAUCAUAAUCAAUUUACUCUUCUCACAAUUCUCUGAUUACUCUUUCAUGAGUGAAAUACAAAUUUAGAUGAAAUACAUGAAAUCCACUUAAUAUGAUUGGUGUCUUAGCAGCAUGUUUGUCAAGAAAUAAGAGAAAGAAAGAAAGAGAAAUAGAGCAACAAAAAAAAAUACAAAGAAGGCUGGCUUACCUCGAUGGGAGCGUACGUUCUUCUUGGCAAUAUGUAGGUAUUAUUCUUGAAAGCUCUUGGGAUGAAGAACUCAAUUCAGCAGAAUGAAAUACAUUAACCGCAAGCUGAAGAAUGAAACACGUGUUGACUGGCAGGAAGAACUGGCUGACCAAAAUACUCCUUCUAGCGGAGCUCGAUGGCUUCCAGACCUUUACCCACUGAUUUACCAGCAGAUAGAUGUAAGCAAAUAACAAUAUUUUAAAUAUCCAAAAUAUUUUAAAACAUCUGAAGAAUGAGUUCAAGGAGUACCUAUACUGUCAGCAUCUGGUGCAGAAUCUACAUGGAAUGUUCUGCAACAAGUUUGUGAGGUUCAGGUUGGUCAAGAACACCACUAGAAAGCUUGUUGGCUAAACAUGUUACCGACACUAACUUCUUUUUUUCC